RNAcentral lists this long non-coding RNA (1699 nucleotides) under Rhagoletis pomonella (apple maggot). RNAcentral describes it as "uncharacterized LOC118743157". Lineage: Eukaryota; Metazoa; Arthropoda; Insecta; Diptera; Tephritidae. The record is from RNAcentral.
UGUGUCAAUUAUUUUGAAUUUUUCACUCAAAACUGCCUCAUACGGGCAGUGGCAAGCAGUCGGUCGUUGAGAUUGAUACUGGUAGCUGCUCUGGGUGGUGUUAAGAGUUAAAGGCUGGAUAGGCUUAGUUCUCCUCCUAUUACAGCAUGCUAAGCGGAAGCAUAUAAACAAAUGCCGAACUGAAAUUGGCCAACACAUGUGGAACUCUUGAAGAGACCAGUAGGAAUUUUAGGCUACAACGCUAGUCAGAGCCACUUAGCACAAUGAUAUACCUUUUAUAAAGAUAGUGAAGCUAAAAAUUGGGAUGAAUUCAGCGAAAAUUUAAAAAGAAAAGACUUAUGAAGUGCAAUUUGCUAUCCAUAUUUUUGUACGGUUGCUCCACUUGGAAAGCCACCAUUGAAAUAAUUAGGCGCCUGCAAGCUUUCGUUAACCGAUGUCUUAGAAUAAUACUCCGAAUUUUUCGACCUAAAACAAUCUCAAAUGAGAACAUCUUGAUCCGGAAUGGAAAGAAGACGGCAGUAUUGCAAAGAAGAAUGGAACUCGGCAGAAGCAGGCCCCUGGCAGAUCCCGUGAAACGUGGCGAAGAACAGUCGAGCUGACGCAACUGGGAAUAAACUAGAAGGAAAUCGGCGUAGUGGAGUUCGAAAUACUUGGAAAGGUGCACUUUUCUAUUGCAUUUAGAUUUAUACAGCGUAGGCCGCAGUAUAGUGACCGCCAUACAAAAAAGAAACGAACAAUUUCUAUUCUCUUUCUGGCUUCGAAACAGCUAAAUCCUUUCAAAGAAGUAUGCUUAAAUUAUGGGUUAUUUUAUAUGUCGUUGCGAAUGUAGUAUGCCAAAAUUUCCCAUAAGAAAACAAUCGUUUAUUUAUUAAUGAAAGAAAAAUUUAAAUCUUUAAAUUACCUACAGGGUUGAAUUGGUUGGUUAAUGCGGCGGCGGCGAAAGGAAGAUUUUUCGCUGGAUGCUGGUAGUAAAAUCUAAAUAUCUAGCCAUUAAAUCGCUCUCGCGAAACUGUGCCUAUUAACAGACAGUACGACAGAGUACGAAGAGAAGGCGAAGUAGAAUUAAGCCAAAAGAAUAAAAGUGCUAGCAUACUUCUUCUUUUUGUAGCUAUUUUUAUUUAUCGUGGGUCAGACUGCUUAUAUUUAACUACAUACAUACAUACAUACAUAUGUACAUAUUUAUAAGCGAAGUGUUGUCCGUUAUCUUUAUAAGUACAUACAUAUAUACAUACAUACCUUAUACAAAUUUAUACGCUAUACCUAACCAUGUACAUACUAUAUACAUGUGUACAUAUCCAUACAUAUAUUAACCUGUAAAUAUGUACGUUUAGGUGUAUCAGACUGAGUAUUUAUUUCUGUUAUCAGCUGAAACAUACAAAAAAUAACAAUAAAACGUAAACACAAAGGAGAGCAAAUAGUUAACCAAAAAAAAAAAAUAUAAAACUUUAUAGCAAACAAUAAAACAGCUGUUUUGCUGAAAAUUUUACGAAAGCAAAGGAGUGAGCUGUAGCAGAAAAAUGUUUUAAAAAAUAAGAAGAAAAUGCCCUGAAGCAUAAAAAAUUUUAUCCUUUUCAAAGAAGCGUAGGAACAUGACGACUGCCAAAGUAAAUAACCCAUAAAUAUGUAUUUAAAAAAGAGCUGUGACGUAGACAGCUUUUAACACCACAAGACGUAGGUAGAGAAUUACCGACCUAGCUGA